Molecule: ribosomal RNA, 637 nt
Filed under: uncultured Lachnospiraceae bacterium
Lineage: Bacteria; Bacillati; Bacillota; Clostridia; Lachnospirales; Lachnospiraceae
Description: bacterial SSU rRNA
Rfam family: Bacterial small subunit ribosomal RNA
Source: RNAcentral
UUUAGAUUGUUUCUAGUGGCGGACGGGUGAGUAACGCGUGGGUAACCUGCCUUAUACAGGGGGAUAACAGUCAGAAAUGACUGCUAAUACCGCAUAAGCGCACAGAGCUGCAUGGCUCGGUGUGAAAAACUCCGGUGGUAUAAGAUGGACCCGCGUUGGAUUAGCUAGUUGGUGAGGUAACGGCCCACCAAGGCGACGAUCCAUAGCCGGCCUGAGAGGGUGAACGGCCACAUUGGGACUGAGACACGGCCCAGACUCCUACGGGAGGCAGCAGUGGGGAAUAUUGCACAAUGGGGGAAACCCUGAUGCAGCGACGCCGCGUGAAGGAAGAAGUAUCUCGGUAUGUAAACUUCUAUCAGCAGGGAAGAAAAUGACGGUACCUGACUAAGAAGCCCCGGCUAACUACGUGCCAGCAGCCGCGGUAAUACGUAGGGGGCAAGCGUUAUCCGGAUUUACUGGGUGUAAAGGGAGCGUAGACGGAUGGACAAGUCUGAUGUGAAAGGCUGGGGCUCAACCCCGGGACUGCAUUGGAAACUGCCCGUCUUGAGUGCCGGAGAGGUAAGCGGAAUUCCUAGUGUAGCGGUGAAAUGCGUAGAUAUUAGGAAGAACACCAGUGGCGAAGGCGGCUUACUGGACG